Molecule: long non-coding RNA, 446 nt
Organism: Cebus imitator (Panamanian white-faced capuchin)
Lineage: Eukaryota; Metazoa; Chordata; Mammalia; Primates; Cebidae
Exons: 3
Source: RefSeq, a predicted model, not a curated record
UUUACCUUACUUUAGAUAUGAACACUGUCAUUGGGAUUUACCUCAUACCUGUUACUACUGCUCUGAAGGCUGGUUUUUCCUGCCAUUUGAAGAUGGAAAUAAGCAAUCUCCUUUUUCCAGCCUUGUCUGUUCAUGCCUUGGGCUCUUCAGUGGUACACUGGAAUCUUGUUUAACUCUUUGGUGGACAUCAGUUUCAAGUAAGCUCGAAGCUGUUGGAACCAAUCUGCUGCCUAAGAAUAACACCAUUACAAAGAAAGCAAAGUCAAGAGCUGGUAAUCUUGGUCCUGAUAAUAUUGUUUGAGGCCCUAGAUAUAGCUGGUCCUGAGGCUAGUGUAAUCUUACACAUUUCGGAAAAGUGAGCCAAUAAAUUGCUAAGUUUAUUAUAGAAUAUUAUCUUUAUGCUUCAAGUUCACCUUUAUCAUACUGUUUAAUUGUCUCUUAUUUGU